This 497-nucleotide ribosomal RNA is filed under the name uncultured bacterium. RNAcentral describes it as "partial 16S ribosomal RNA". It matches the Rfam family "Bacterial small subunit ribosomal RNA", at positions 28 to 523 of the family's 1533-position model. The record is from RNAcentral.
GAUGAACGCUGGCGGCGUGCUUAACACAUGCAAGUCGAGCGAAGCACUUUACUUAGAUUUCUUCGGGAUGAAGAGUUUUGUGACUGAGCGGCGGACGGGUGAGUAACGCGUGGGUAACCUGCCUCAUACAGGGGGAUAACAGUUAGAAACGACUGCUAAUACCGCAUAAGACCACAGCACCGCAUGGUGCAGGGGUAAAAACUCCGGUGGUAUGAGAUGGACCCGAGUCUGAUUAGCUGGUUGGUGGGGUAACGGACUACCAAGGCAACGAUCAGUAGCCGGCCUGAGAGGGCGACCGGCCACAUUGGGACUGAGACACGGCCCAAACUCCUACGGGAGGCAGCAGUGGGGAAUAUUGCACAAUGGGGGAAACCCUGAUGCAGCGACGCCGCGUGAAGGAAGAAGUAUUUCGGUAUGUAAACUUCUAUCAGCAGGGAAGAAAAUGACGGUACCUGACUAAGAAGCCCCGGCUAACUACGUGCCAGCAGCCGCCGUAA